This 1640-nucleotide long non-coding RNA is filed under the name Xyrichtys novacula (pearly razorfish). Lineage: Eukaryota; Metazoa; Chordata; Actinopteri; Labriformes; Labridae. The record is from RNAcentral.
GUGUAUGUACAGCCGCGACCUGACGCGACUCGGCGACCGCCGGCUGCCGACGACGCGACGUGAGCGACCUACGCGACCAGGUCGCGCAUAAUCGCCGAGGUCGCGUCGCCCGAGGUCGCAGGGCGCGAAGUCGCGUUGCGACUUUCCGCGACUCCGUGCCGCGACAGCCAAUCAGGGCUCUGCUGAUGUCAACAAACCCGCGAAGCAAGGAGGAGAAGAAGAAUCACACAAUGGAGGAGCAGCUUAUAAUUGCCGUGAGUCUUCACCCGGUGCUUUACGACGUGGAGUGCAGGUUCUACCUGGACCGCACCUCCGAGGAGGAAGCAUGGGUGAAGGUGGCCCAUGAUGUUGGGCUUUCUGGUAAGUUUGUUUGUUUAUUUAUUUAAGUGAGCAGACUAUUUUCUGAAAACAUAGCAAACUGCCCCUGCUUGCUAGGCUACAUGUUUCUACGUGUGUGUGUGUGUGUGUGUGUGUGUGUGUGUGUGUGUGUGUGUGUGUGUGUGUGUGUGUGUGUGUGUGUGUGUGUGUGUGUGUGUGUGUUUGCAGUGGAUGUGUGCCGCAAGCGCUGGAAGGGGCUGCGGGAUGUCUACAUGAGGGAGAAGGAAGGAGGGAGAAGCGGGUCAGCGGCCUCCCAGCAGAAGAAGUGGCGUUUCUCUGCGGUGAUGUCCUUCCUCGACCCCUUUAUUUCCCCGAGGGAGACUACCAGCAACAUGUCUCGGGAGGACGAGGAAGAUGUCACCGUAGGAAAUGCUGCUUCUUCUGCGGGGAUGCCUGAAGAGCUGGAGGAAGCAGGCCCCUCAGGAGUGGAGCAUGGACUGUUUGACGGUUGGUUGAUGAGUGAAAAAGAUAGCAAAUAAAUUUGAGUCCCUUCAUGGUUUAAACACACCAUUGUAGUUUAAUUUAAGAUGGACAUUUCAAAUCAUGCACAUUUAAUGUGUGAAAAUUUUUAAUUUGAAUUAUAAUGUUGCCUGAUUGCAGAGGUUUGAUUUCAAACAUUUUUGUCACAACUUUAAAGAUAAGCCUGCUCCCUCUCCUGCUCCAGCUCCCUCACCUUCUCCUGCCCCCUCGUCUUCUCCUGUUUCCUCACCUGCUCCAUCGAGUGAUGCCUCGGGCCCCACUGCAGCCAGACCAAAAGGUAUUGAAAAGAAAUAUUAACCAUAUAUUCAAUGAAAUUGCUCAUGGUCAAAUUCACAUAGAAAUUAUAAAACAAAUUGUAACCGAUAAGUUUUUUUUAUGACAGGGAGGAAGAGGAGGACGCCUCCCACCUCCAGAUUGGAGGACAUCGAGGAGCUCCUCUUUCAGGUCCUGCAGAGGCAACUAAAUGCACCUCCACCACCACCACCACCCACAUGUCGCCCAUCAGAGGACGAACUGUUCGCCUUGAGCCUGGUUCCUUCCCUCGCGUGGCUCACACCCCAGGCUAAGGAACAUGUCAAAUUUAAAAUACGCAAAUUAAUUUAUGAGGCGCAAGAUUUCACCUUAAAUUUGGAAGCAGUGGAACCUUAGCUGGGGUGACAGCCUCGGGGGGGAACGAGCCAGGCUCUGCUGUUGCAGCCAAUCCCCCAACCCCCCAACACACACACACAUACACACCUUUGUAAAUAAAUGUUAUUAUAUUUGUAAUAUCUGCUGUUGCAGCC